GUGAAGAACGCAGCGAAAUGCGAUAAGUAAUGUGAAUUGCAGAAUUCAGUGAAUCAUCGAAUCUUUGAACGCACAUUGCGCCCGCCAGUAUUCUGGCGGGCAUGCCUGUUCGAGCGUCAUUUCAACCAUCAAGCCCCAGGCUUGUGUUGGGGUCCUGCGGCUGCCGCAGGCCCUGAAAAACAGUGGCGGGCUCGCUGUCACACCGAGCGUAGUAAUACAUCUCGCUUUGGACGUGCGGCGGGUUCUUGCCGUUAAACACCCCCCUUCUCAAGGUUGACCUCGGAUCAGGUAGGAAUACCCGCUGAACUUAAGCAUAUCAAUAAGCGGAGGA
Molecule: unclassified non-coding RNA, 331 nt
Filed under: soil metagenome
Description: partial contains 5.8S ribosomal RNA, internal transcribed spacer 2, and large subunit ribosomal RNA
Rfam family: 5.8S ribosomal RNA (bases 2-119)
Source: RNAcentral